Molecule: ribosomal RNA, 494 nt
Filed under: uncultured bacterium
Lineage: Bacteria
Description: partial 16S ribosomal RNA
Rfam family: Bacterial small subunit ribosomal RNA
Source: RNAcentral
GACGAACGCUGGCGGCGUGCUUAACACAUGCAAGUCGAACGGGGAAGCGCGUUCCUUUUUUGUGGGUUUGGAUGAGUGUCGAACGGGUGAGUAACACGUGAGUAGCCUGCCCCCUUCUUCUUGGUAACCGCAUGAAAUUGUGGCUAAUACGGGGUAUUCUGGGUCUGUUGCAUGAUGGGUCUGGGAAAGAUAUUGUUUCGGUGGUGGAUUGGCUCGCGGCCUAUCAGCUGGUUGGUGGGGUGAUGUCCUAGCGAGGCGGUGACGGGUAGCCGGCCUGGGCGGGUGGUAGGUCACACGAGGACUGGAACACCGACAAGACUCCUGAGGGACGCAGCAGUGGGGAAUAUUGGACAAUGGGCGCAAGCAUGAUGCAGCGACGCCGAGUGAGGGAUGGAAGCCUUCGGGUUGUGAACAUCUUUCGCGAGUGAAGAAGGCCUGCCUCGUUUGUGGGUGGGUUGACGGUAGCUGGAUAAGAAGCGCCGGCUAACUCCGUG